This 726-nucleotide ribosomal RNA is filed under the name Helicobacter pylori. RNAcentral's name for it is "bacterial SSU rRNA". It matches the Rfam family "Bacterial small subunit ribosomal RNA", at positions 801 to 1533 of the family's 1533-position model. The record is from RNAcentral. Lineage: Bacteria; Pseudomonadati; Campylobacterota; Epsilonproteobacteria; Campylobacterales; Helicobacteraceae.
ACGUUGAGUCGACUGGAGGUUGUGCCCUUGAGGCGUGGCUUCCGGAGCUAACGCGUUAAGUCGACCGCCUGGGGAGUACGGCCGCAAGGUUAAAACUCAAAUGAAUUGACGGGGGCCCGCACAAGCGGUGGAGCAUGUGGUUUAAUUCGAUGCAACGCGAAGAACCUUACCUACUCUUGACAUCCAGAGAACUUACCAGAGAUGCUUUGGUGCCUUCGGGAACUCUGAGACAGGUGCUGCAUGGCUGUCGUCAGCUCGUGUUGUGAAAUGUUGGGUUAAGUCCCGCAACGAGCGCAACCCUUAUCCUUUGUUGCCAGCGGUCCGGCCGGGAACUCAAAGGAGACUGCCAGUGAUAAACUGGAGGAAGGUGGGGAUGACGUCAAGUCAUCAUGGCCCUUACGAGUAGGGCUACACACGUGCUACAAUGGCGCAUACAAAGAGAAGCGAACUCGCGAGAGCAAGCGGACCUCAUAAAGUGCGUCGUAGUCCGGAUUGGAGUCUGCAACUCGACUCCAUGAAGUCGGAAUCGCUAGUAAUCGUAGAUCAGAAUGCUACGGUGAAUACGUUCCCGGGCCUUGUACACACCGCCCGUCACACCAUGGGAGUGGGUUGCAAAAGAAGUAGGUAGCUUAACCUUCGGGAGGGCGCUUACCACUUUGUGAUUCAUGACUGGGGUGAGUCAAAAAGGGGGGGCCAAAAAAAAAGGGAACAAAGCACGGGACUCCA